This 100-nucleotide antisense RNA is filed under the name Staphylococcus massiliensis S46. RNAcentral's name for it is "Fst antitoxin sRNA". It matches the Rfam family "Fst antitoxin sRNA". From Rfam's summary of the family: It is located on the opposite strand of SprA1 sRNA. Lineage: Bacteria; Bacillati; Bacillota; Bacilli; Caryophanales; Staphylococcaceae. The record is from Rfam by way of RNAcentral.
UGCAGUAGUGUGGGGAUUUUUCGAUGCUGGCUUAUGAAGUCGCCUAUUAAUUACUUGUUGCGUUUACUAAGCCAAUAAGUAUAAUACGCAACAGCACAGC